UCUCCGUUGGUGAACCAGCGGAGGGAUCAUUACUGAGUUACCGCUCUACAACCCUUUGUGAACAUACCUUACUGUUGCUUCGGCGGGCAGAGGUCCCUUCUGGGGACCCCUCCCGGCCCCGUCCCUCGCGGACGGAGCGCCCGCCGGAGGAUACCAAACUCUAUUUUAACGACGUUUCUUCUGAGUGGCACAAGCAAAUAAUUAAAACUUUCAACAACGGAUCUCUUGGUUCUG
RNAcentral lists this unclassified non-coding RNA (234 nucleotides) under Colletotrichum circinans. RNAcentral's name for it is "partial contains small subunit ribosomal RNA, internal transcribed spacer 1, and 5.8S ribosomal RNA". The record is from RNAcentral. RNAcentral also lists the same sequence under 1 other name. Lineage: Eukaryota; Fungi; Ascomycota; Sordariomycetes; Glomerellales; Glomerellaceae.